This 671-nucleotide ribosomal RNA is filed under the name Bacillus amyloliquefaciens. Its description in RNAcentral is "bacterial SSU rRNA". It matches the Rfam family "Bacterial small subunit ribosomal RNA", at positions 242 to 903 of the family's 1533-position model. The record is from RNAcentral. Lineage: Bacteria; Bacillati; Bacillota; Bacilli; Caryophanales; Bacillaceae.
UAGCUAGUUGGUGAGGUAACGGCUCACCAAGGCGACGAUGCGUAGCCGACCUGAGAGGGUGAUCGGCCACACUGGGACUGAGACACGGCCCAGACUCCUACGGGAGGCAGCAGUAGGGAAUCUUCCGCAAUGGACGAAAGUCUGACGGAGCAACGCCGCGUGAGUGAUGAAGGUUUUCGGAUCGUAAAGCUCUGUUGUUAGGGAAGAACAAGUGCCGUUCAAAUAGGGCGGCACCUUGACGGUACCUAACCAGAAAGCCACGGCUAACUACGUGCCAGCAGCCGCGGUAAUACGUAGGUGGCAAGCGUUGUCCGGAAUUAUUGGGCGUAAAGGGCUCGCAGGCGGUUUCUUAAGUCUGAUGUGAAAGCCCCCGGCUCAACCGGGGAGGGUCAUUGGAAACUGGGGAACUUGAGUGCAGAAGAGGAGAGUGGAAUUCCACGUGUAGCGGUGAAAUGCGUAGAGAUGUGGAGGAACACCAGUGGCGAAGGCGACUCUCUGGUCUGUAACUGACGCUGAGGAGCGAAAGCGUGGGGAGCGAACAGGAUUAGAUACCCUGGUAGUCCACGCCGUAAACGAUGAGUGCUAAGUGUUAGGGGGUUUCCGCCCCUUAGUGCUGCAGCUAACGCAUUAAGCACUCCGCCUGGGGAGUACGGUCGCAAGACUGAAACUCA